UACGUAGGGUGCGAGCGUUAAUCGGAAUUACUGGGCGUAAAGGGCGCGUAGGCGGUGUGUCAAGUCAGGCGUGAAAGCCCCGGGCUCAACCUGGGAACUGCGCUUGAGACUGGCACGCUCGAGUUCGGGAGAGGAUGGUGGAAUUCCCAGUGUAGAGGUGAAAUUCGUAGAUAUUGGGAAGAACACCGAUGGCGAAGGCAGCCAUCUGGACCGACACUGACGCUGAGGCGCGAAAGCGUGGGGAGCAAACAGG
Molecule: ribosomal RNA, 253 nt
Filed under: uncultured bacterium
Lineage: Bacteria
Description: partial 16S ribosomal RNA
Rfam family: Bacterial small subunit ribosomal RNA
Source: RNAcentral